Molecule: long non-coding RNA, 1214 nt
Filed under: Vigna radiata
Lineage: Eukaryota; Viridiplantae; Streptophyta; Magnoliopsida; Fabales; Fabaceae
Description: long non-coding RNA (VRAD_LNC002424)
Source: RNAcentral
AUUAUUAUAUUAAAUUUAAAAUUGUCGUAGACAAUUUGAUAUAAUUGAUUAGGACAGUAUGAUGCACAUUUCAUAAUUUGUGUCUCGAACGAUUCAAUAAUAAAUAAUAAUUAAACAUAUUUUUCGUGGUUAGAAAUAUCAAUGUGAGGGAAUUUGUUUGAGAGAGAGUGAGAAAGGGUUGUGAAGGAAUUGAGAGGCGCAUGACGUUGACGUGAGGUCAUGAGAGCCUUUGUUUGUUGUCUCUCCCUGGCUUGGUCUUGAAAAAACUGGAAGGGGAGCCCACAAAGGAUUUUGGAGUUUUAUGGUUUUUGGUGUGGCGUACGUGUAAUGUCAGCAGUCACCAUCUGAAAUGUUCUGUCUUCACACGCCACCACACACGGCUAAUCCCCUACGCCUUCCAUCGGCAGCCGUGGGAUUCGCCGACAGCAACGUCCCGAAGAAUCGAACGGCUUGGAAGGCGAAAAGAAAAGAGGCUAAGCAAUAAUGCAGGUGAGGUCUCCCCCAAAAUAGAAACGCGAUGAGAGAGGGACAGGAAUAGGCAGAAAGCGACAGGGAGAAAGGUCGUAGGUGUUACAUGUGUGUGUGUAUAUGAUAUCCAUGUCAUGUCAUGGUAUGGCAUGGCAUGUCAUUGCCUUUAAAGAUAAAGAUAAAAGGCAGUUGCGGACACACCCAACCCUCUUCGCCAUUGGUUCCUUUCUUGACCUUCCCUCCACUGUGGGACCCUCCUAAACCACAAAGAAAACUAGGACCGAAUCUUCCUUAAAGCGAUUAGGAGAGGGUAGAUAGAUAGAUAGAUAGAGAUAAGCCUUGUGGGGUUGACGCGUGUACAGUGUAUCUCAACCUCCCUGGACCACCUCUAUUCAUUCUUUCCCUUUUUAUUUCUUAAUUACACUUUUAAUACCUUAAUUAAUUAUCCAUCAUUCCGAUUAAUUGCAAAUCAAUCCACCCUAACUAAACUUUUCUUUUAUUAAUUACUUUUUCUCCUCUUAUUGGCUAACAAAUUCUUUUGCAUUCUUUCUCUCGUUGACUUCCCCCGUUAAUUUGAAAGCUGAAGUUGCUGGAAUAACUUUUCGACCAAAUCAGAUUUCUUAAUGGGUAUAAAAGUGGGUGCGCAAACUUUAACCAGCAUUUCCUAGAUACCAUACCCUUCACGUGACACUAAUUUCUUCCACUCUAAACUUAAGUUUAAUAAAUUUAUAUUCUACAAAUUAGGC